Molecule: ribosomal RNA, 489 nt
Filed under: uncultured bacterium
Lineage: Bacteria
Description: partial 16S ribosomal RNA
Rfam family: Bacterial small subunit ribosomal RNA
Source: RNAcentral
GAUGAACGCUAGCGGCAGGCUUAAUACAUGCAAGUCGUGGGGCAGCAGGACUGUAGCACUCCAGUUGCUGGCGACCGGCACACGGGUGCGGAACACGUACGCAACUUACCCUGAACUGGGGGAUAGCCCGGGGAAACCCGGCGUAAUACCCCGUAAUAUACUGGAGUGGCAUCACUUUAUUCUUAAAGCUCCGGCGGAUCGGGAUGGGCGUGCGGCUGUUUAGGUAGUUGGUUGAGGUAACGGCACAACAAGCCUACGAUCAGUGACUGGUGUGAGAGCACGACCAGUCACACGGGAACUGAGGCACGGGCCCGACUGCUACGGGAGGGAGCAGUAAGGAAUAUUGGGCAAUGGAGGCAACUCUGACCCAGCCAUGCCGCGUGGAGGAGGAAUGCCCUCUGGGUUGUAAACUUCUUUUAUAGGGGACGAAACCUGUGUAUUCUUACGCAGUUGACGGUACCCUAGGAAUAAGCACCGGCUAACUCCGUG